UACGAAGGGUGCUAGCGUUGUUCGGAAUCACUGGGCGUAAAGCGCGCGUAGGCGGCGAUACAAGUCAGAGGUGAAAGCCCGUGGCUCAACCACGGAAUUGCCUUUGAAACUGCAUUGCUGGAGUGUCGGAGGGGAUAGCGGAAUUGCUAAUGUAGAGGUGAAAUUCGUAGAUAUUAGCAGGAACACCGGUGGCGAAGGCGGCUAUCUGGACGACAACUGACGCUGAGGCGCGAAAGCGUGGGGAUCAAACAGG
This 253-nucleotide ribosomal RNA is filed under the name uncultured bacterium. Its description in RNAcentral is "partial 16S ribosomal RNA". It matches the Rfam family "Bacterial small subunit ribosomal RNA", at positions 524 to 776 of the family's 1533-position model. The record is from RNAcentral.